Molecule: non-coding RNA, 98 nt
Organism: Mycena metata
Lineage: Eukaryota; Fungi; Basidiomycota; Agaricomycetes; Agaricales; Mycenaceae
Source: the annotation of a GenBank genome assembly
GUCUUCGAGGAUCAAUGGUGAUCGUCUCGUUCACCUGUGGAUCCAAUGUUAUAAAAGUUCGACGCGGGAAGGCGAGGGUUCGAGUCCCUCUGGAGGCG